This 254-nucleotide ribosomal RNA is filed under the name uncultured bacterium. RNAcentral's name for it is "partial 16S ribosomal RNA". It matches the Rfam family "Bacterial small subunit ribosomal RNA", at positions 524 to 776 of the family's 1533-position model. The record is from RNAcentral.
UACGGGGGGAGCAAGCGUUGUUCGGAUUUACUGGGCGUAAAGGGCGCGUAGGCGGCCACCGCAAGUCGGUUGUGAAAUCUCCGGGCUUAACCCGGAAAGGUCAAUCGAUACUGCGGGGCUAGAGUGCAGAAGGGGCAACUGGAAUUCUCGGUGUAGCGGUGAAAUGCGUAGAUAUCUGGAGGAACACCGGUGGCGAAGGCGGCAUCCUGGACCAAUAUUGACGCUGAGGAGCGAAAGCCAGGGGAGCAAACGGG